UUUUUGUCAAGCUCGAGUUCUGAUGAUGGGAUCCAUGAGGAAUCGAGGGAACUCCUCAAAUGUGAAAGGCAUACAUAUAGUGUGAUUUUAGUAUUCUCAUCAACAAAUCAAGCAUUUACAUUUAAAAAAGUGACAUUUGAUGAAGUGGAACUGCUGAUGAUGAUCAGAACGGAACUCUUCAAUGACGCAUAGUUCACGUUUGGCGAUUUGUCAUCUUCGUUAUGUUUGUUAAGCAAGUUAGGUUUUCAAGACACAUUUUUGUCAAGCUCGAGUUCUGAUGAUGGGAUCCAUGAGGAAUCGA
Molecule: long non-coding RNA, 301 nt
Organism: Cydia strobilella
Lineage: Eukaryota; Metazoa; Arthropoda; Insecta; Lepidoptera; Tortricidae
Exons: 2
Source: RefSeq, a predicted model, not a curated record